AGCGACGCUGGGUGCCUACGACGUGACUUUGCCAGACCCACUGGGCUUGCGGCUGCUGGGCCGGGCCCUCCAGCUGGAAGACGGGAUGGGAAAGACUGGCGGUGCUUCUGUGGCUCCGGGCUGGCGUCACUGGAACAGGCAACCCAGGGCCCGCGGAGCUCUGGAAGCGGGCGGAGCUGGUGACACCGGCACUCGCUGCAGACCGCUCGGGAACACACCCCGGCCGCGUCCCCAGAAAAGCGUGGAGAGAGUGGUCUGCCCUGUGAGGACAGAGUCCUGUGGGACAAGGCCACAUGCCCGGCUGACAGAAUCCUGCCUGAAAUGACAGGACUUCGAGGGACACACACGUCCAGAAUUGUCCCUUUUUUGGAGGAUAAAGAUUUUCUUUUCUUUA
Molecule: long non-coding RNA, 394 nt
Organism: Mustela lutreola (European mink)
Lineage: Eukaryota; Metazoa; Chordata; Mammalia; Carnivora; Mustelidae
Exons: 2
Source: RefSeq, a predicted model, not a curated record